Molecule: long non-coding RNA, 228 nt
Filed under: Elaeis guineensis (African oil palm)
Lineage: Eukaryota; Viridiplantae; Streptophyta; Magnoliopsida; Arecales; Arecaceae
Description: long non-coding RNA (EGUI_LNC014798)
Source: RNAcentral
GUGCGCCAACUCCUCAAAGCCCAAAUCUAUGAUUUUCUUAGGGAGCCUAACUCUUAAAAAUAUCAUCUGAAGAUGGAGAUCUGGACGUGCACCAAAGUCCAAAUCUAUGAUUUUCUAGGGGAGCCUAACUUUUAAAAGGUUCAUUCGAAGAUGGAGAUCAGAUGUGCACCGAAGCCCAAAUCUAUAAUUUUCUAGGAAAGCCUAACUCCUAAAAGGUUUGCCUGAAGA